Molecule: non-coding RNA, 2298 nt
Organism: Chelonoidis abingdonii (Abingdon island giant tortoise)
Lineage: Eukaryota; Metazoa; Chordata; Testudines; Testudinidae
Source: RefSeq, a predicted model, not a curated record
CGAUGUCACCAUUACUACCUCUAUCGACCAGGAGACGCCCACCAACGAGCUGAGCUCGCAGAGCGGCCCAGAGGGCGAGGGUGGCACCACCCAGGGCCCUGCAGGACAGCCUGCCCUUGAGGCCUUCCCGCCCGCCGACGGAUUCAGUGGCAGCUUCGAAUGGGAUGACGACUUCCCAUUGAUGGCCCAGAACCCAUCCUUUGUCUCCAUGGUGACGGACCCCAGCUCGGGGGCCCCCCCAACGCCGCCCCCCGCACUACUCCCAGCCAAGGGGGCAGAGCCCAGCCUGAUGGACGCCCUGCGCUUCUCCCGCUUCACCGUCUCCCCCGCCCUCGAGCCCCACCUGGCCCCCCGCGAGGCCGAGCUGGCGCCCACAGCCAACCCCAUUGAGAACUGAGGCGGGGACCUGCCCCCAGCAAUCAGGGACUCCUCGGGAUGGUGCUGGGCCAUCGCUCCCCCGCGCCCUCACCCCCUAGCCUGGCUGGGAGACGCAUGCGCCAGGCAUGUUCUGGGGGACACAGAGACUUGGGGGGGGGGGGGGGCAAGGCCAGCAUUUUGGGAUCCCCCUCCCCCCACAAGGACUUGCUUCUCUGGACAAUUUUUUUACAGUGACUCAGCCGCUGGGGGGCAGCCAGGCUGCUGAAUGUACCUGCCCCCAGUGCCCCUCGCUGCCCCUUUCCCCGCACAUGGGAGUUUGCUGUCAAAACUGUCUUAUGCCAAAUCCAACCUUGAGGGGCAGCGAGCUACAUAUCGGGGUGGGGGGGCUCACACUGCCCUCCCCCAGGAUUGGUCCCCCUACCAGUUUAACUCUGUGUCUCAAGUAAAGGGGGGAAAUGCCCCACAACUCGUCAGCAAUGGGGGGCUCCCCCCAACCAGCCCCGUCCCCCCCCAUUGUGGAAUGUAAGCCUGCUGCCCACUUCCCCCUCUUGGCACCAGAUGCCGCCUGAUGGAUGGACAGAUGGACAAGGGGGGGCAUUGUUAUACAGACACCUUUGUGCCCCCCCCGCCCCAGGAUGUGCACUGAGGAUGGAGCCCCCACCCCUUGCAGCUGGAGAUCAGCUGGGGCCCUGGGAUUCAGCGGGGAGGGGGAAUGAGGGGAGGGGUUGGCCAAGAGGCCUGAGGCUCGCUGGUUGGUACUGGGGGCCGAGUGGAGACCCUGGGCUGGCGCAGGUGGCUGCUGGGUUAUUACCGGUAUUUGGGGAGGGGGGGGGGGCGCGCACCACUGGUUUCUACUGGGAGCCUGAUGGAGUCAGUGGGGGUUACAGAGCCUGUUGCAGGGGAGGGUCGCUGGGUGUAUUUUCUAGUCCUGGGGGCCUACCCCCUGCCUUUGGCCCAUGGGGGUGCAUGGGGUUAGGCUUAGGGAAGGGGGCCUGGGGUCUUUCCGCUCUAGGGGCCACCAGCUCCCAUCUGCCCCAGGUUGAGGGACUGGCUGGCUCAGGGGGGCAGGGAAUGGGACAUGGGGCCUUUCCCUACUAGGGGGCACCAGCUACCCAGUAUCCUGCCCCUUUUCUCCUGGAUCAGACCCAUGGGUCCCUCUACCCUGGUGUCCGGCCCCCUCACCCAGUCCUAUCUAGCCUGUGUCAGAAGUGGGCCUGGAUUUCACUGGCACCCUCCCAGCUCAGUUUGUCAUUAAGGGGGGAUCUACCUGCCUCCCAAGAACCAACACACCAGGCAGCUGCCAAACAAGGCCAGGUCUGUAAAUACGUGGGCACGAGGAGACGCCUGGUGUCUCGCCUGGUGCCGCCUUUGGCCUGCUCCUGAUUUGCCAAAAUGAACAAAGAUUAAAAAAGAGUGACUAUUAACCCCCAAGUGUCUGCUGCCCGCGAGGCGUCGGGGAGGCUGGACACAUGGAUGGCAGUGGGGUUUGGGGGAGCGAGGUGUGGUGGGGGAGAAGGAUGUGGGCUGAUAGAUGGAGGGGUGAAGUGCUGCACUGUAUGGGAUAGCGGGAUGGAGUGGGUACGUAGGGGGAGGUUUGGGGUACAUUGGGGGAUGGCUGGAGGGAUGCAUGUGGAGGAAGAUGGCUGGACAAACAGAGCAGGUAAAAGGAAUGAGCUGGGCCCCCCAUGUGGGGCAGUUCUGCUCCCAGCCAGCGGGGGGGGAGUGCAGGGCUGCCCCCCCCCCAGUUCAGUGAGGCCUCAGAGAGGGAUUUAAAUUAAACUUUAUUAAUAAUGGGGUCAGAGGCUGCAUUGUCCAAGCUACAGAAGGGCUUUUCCCAGUGCCCUCUGCACCCACCCACAGCGUGGGCCUGUCCCCUCCAGCAGGGGGCACCAGGGGGACACACAGCGCAGGGCCCAGCCC